RNAcentral lists this transfer RNA (68 nucleotides) under Ictidomys tridecemlineatus (thirteen-lined ground squirrel). RNAcentral describes it as "Spermophilus tridecemlineatus (thirteen-lined ground squirrel) tRNA". It matches the Rfam family "tRNA". From Rfam's summary of the family: Transfer RNA (tRNA) molecules are approximately 80 nucleotides in length. Their secondary structure includes four short double-helical elements and three loops (D, anti-codon, and T loops). The record is from Rfam by way of RNAcentral. Lineage: Eukaryota; Metazoa; Chordata; Mammalia; Rodentia; Sciuridae.
GGGGCUGGGGCUCAGGGCAGAGCACAUGCCUCGCAUGCAUGAGGCACUGGGUCCGGUCCUCAGCGCCA